This 307-nucleotide unclassified non-coding RNA is filed under the name Agaricus luteofibrillosus. RNAcentral describes it as "partial contains 5.8S ribosomal RNA, internal transcribed spacer 2, and large subunit ribosomal RNA". The record is from RNAcentral. Lineage: Eukaryota; Fungi; Basidiomycota; Agaricomycetes; Agaricales; Agaricaceae.
CGCAUCUUGCGCUCCUUGGUAUUCCGAGGAGCAUGCCUGUUUGAGUGUCAUUAUAUUCUCAACCCUCCCUCUACUUUGCUGUGGAGGAGGGCUUGGAUUGUGGAGGCUUGCUGGCCACUAGUCUGAGGUCAGCUCCUUUGAAAUGCAUUAGCGGAACCGUUUGCGAUCUGCCACAAGUGUGAUAAUCUAUCUGCACUGGCAAGGGGGAUUGCUCUCUGCGUUGUUCAGCUUCUAAUUGUCCCGGCUUGACGGGACAACUUGUUGAAUGCUUGACCUCAAAUCAGGUAGGACUACCCGCUGAACUUAA